CAUAAACUUUACUUAUUCCUAGUAGUUUCUUUCCUCAAUCUCUGUCCCACAUCAUUCUGCUUUGUUUGGGUCAUGAACUUUCCGUGAAUAUAUAAACCAUGCAUGUGCCACAAUCAACGAAGUCUCAAGGAAGCAACAUGAACCCACCAAAACAAAAACUUUACUCUUUUUGAAGUUAAGGGCACCACCUAUUUUUCAAAAGUAAUGAAACGCUUUAGGUGUGAUAUGCAAUAGAAAUAUGUAAUGGUAAAUUGUUAACAACAGAAUAAAUUUAAUAUAACAGAUAUGGAAAUAUUGUGUUGAAUAAGUAGACACAAUAAACAACAUGAAGUUAGUAUUACGUGCAUUAGCUAAAAAAUUAGAGUAUUAUCUAUUGUAGGAAAGAUGAUAGAAUCAAUUCUUGAAUAAUUUGAGCUUAUGGUUAGAAGAUAAGUAGACGAAAUGAAUAUUAGUUCAAUCUUUAGAGACAGAUAGAGACCGAAAAAACUACAAGCGAAACGAUUAUAAAAAACAUAGAGAUAACAUUUUAAUUAUUAUUCUUAAUCUAUAAUAAAAUAUUAUAACAAUCCAUGUAGUUAGCCGACUCCGAUAGAACUAAAGUUUAGUUUAGAUUGUAUAAACUUAAGGCAAUAACCUGAUUUGGUACGAAGUGGUUGGGGCCUUGGGUUGCAUAGAUGUAUGGUUGAGAGAGCAUCAUCUUUUGCAAAAGUUGCUUUGGGGCUUUUUAAAUUUCCUUUGCAAAACUUUCUU
RNAcentral lists this long non-coding RNA (750 nucleotides) under Lupinus angustifolius (narrow-leaved blue lupine). Its description in RNAcentral is "long non-coding RNA (LANG_LNC000517)". The record is from RNAcentral. Lineage: Eukaryota; Viridiplantae; Streptophyta; Magnoliopsida; Fabales; Fabaceae.